Molecule: ribosomal RNA, 491 nt
Filed under: uncultured Sphingobacteriales bacterium
Lineage: Bacteria; Pseudomonadati; Bacteroidota; Sphingobacteriia; Sphingobacteriales
Description: bacterial SSU rRNA
Rfam family: Bacterial small subunit ribosomal RNA
Source: RNAcentral
CAGAAACUACAAAGGAAGUUGACGGGGGCCCGGCACAAGCGGAGGAGCAUGUGGUUUAAUUCGAUGAUACGCGAGGAACCUUACCUGGGCUCGAACGUAAGAUGACUGUAGGUGAAAGCUUACAUCUCUUCGGAGCAUUUUACGAGGUGCUGCAUGGUUGUCGUCAGCUCGUGCCGUGAGGUGUCGGGUUAAGUCCCAUAACGAGCGCAACCCCUACCUUUAGUUGCCAUCAGGUUAAGCUGGGGACUCUAAAGGAACUGCCUACGCAAGUAGUGAGGAAGGCGGGGAUGACGUCAAAUCAGCACGGCCCUUACGUCCAGGGCUACACACGUGCUACAAUGGCCGAUACAGAGGGCAGCUACCUGGUGACAGGAUGCAAAUCUCCAAAGUCGGUCUCAGUUCGGAUCGGAGUCUGCAACCCGACUCCGUGAAGUUGGAUUCGCUAGUAAUCGCGCAUCAGCCAUGGCGCGGUGAAUACGUUCCCGGGCCUU